UAGGGAAUCUUCCACAAUGGACGCAAGUCUGAUGGAGCAACGCCGCGUGAGUGAAGAAGGUCUUCGGAUCGUAAAACUCUGUUGUUAGAGAAGAACAUGCGAGAGAGUAACUGUUCUUGUAUUGACGGUAUCUAACCAGAAAGCCACGGCUAACUACGUGCAAG
This 164-nucleotide ribosomal RNA is filed under the name uncultured bacterium. RNAcentral's name for it is "partial 16S rRNA". It matches the Rfam family "Bacterial small subunit ribosomal RNA", at positions 355 to 511 of the family's 1533-position model. The record is from RNAcentral.